RNA transcript from Harmonia axyridis, 1694 nucleotides. RefSeq lists it as uncharacterized. The transcript has 7 exons. Lineage: Eukaryota; Metazoa; Arthropoda; Insecta; Coleoptera; Coccinellidae. The record is from RefSeq and is a predicted model, not a curated record.
AUUUUUGACAACAUCAAUAUAAAUUCAAAAAAAAUAUUUCUAAUAAGAUUUGUAUUCAGAAACGAUUAAUCAAAUUGAAGCCGUAAGAAAUGGUUAUAAUCUAGACUAAACUCAAAAUUGAAUAUUUUCAUUAAAAAUGAGUGCUGUUGAUAUAAACAAAUUAGUGGAGGAUAUUCAGAGACUUAGGGAAGAAUCUGAUAUAACUAAUGACGAAUACUCAAAAAAAGAAGACACGUUUACUAUGACGGACUUAGAUUUCCCAUUGGCAACAUCAGAGUGUGAAGAACAAGAAAUCGGAUUUAGAAAUAAUGCAUGUUAUCUCUGUAAUGGAUAUUAUGGAUCUUCUUAUGGUGAACACUUAUGUACAACAUGUCACUUAUUUUUAUAUCCUCUGUUUGAAACUCCUGAUAGUCCUACCUUCAUACCCGAGGAGAACAGCGAUAGUGAUUCAGGCAAUGAUGAACCUGUCGAUGCCUCAUUCAGACUGAAUGGUAAUGACAAUUCUGAAGAAUCCUUUCAACGCAAUCAAGCAGCUACCACAUCUGAUGUGGAUCUAAUGCCUGUGAGACGUCGAAUCGUAAUAAGACCAUGUAUUUGUUUAGUUGUUGAGCGUUCCAAUCCACACUCACACAGAAGGUCAAGAGGUCAAAUGAUUGACUUUUCUCUCCUUCCAGACUUCAAAAGUUUCAACUUUCAGGGCCUAUCUCCUGAAAUUUUUAUGUAUACUCUUCAAUAUCUGGAUACAAUAUCUUUAUGGAGUGUGGGUCAAGUGUGUCAUAGAUGGCGCUCUAUACUUGAUUUAUACAUUAAAGUAAGCGAAUGGAAGAACUUAUUACAUGAUGUAUGGCCUUUAUUGAAAGUUAGAGGCAAGACUUAUCAGGACUGGUAUAAGUACUUUACAGCUAUGAUGAAUAGUGCAUGUUGCUUCAACUGUGUCAAUCAGAUGACAUCUCGAGCUUUGCCGGAAAAUUGGGAUAACAGUUCUUGGAGAGCACAUAGACUUAUGACUGAACUGCGAGUUAUGAAGAGUGAUCCUUUGGAUGGUAUUCAAGCUGAGCCAUUAGACGAUUUCGCUUGUCAUUGGCAGGCAACUCUAGAGGGACCAGCUGGAAGCCCCUAUGAAGGAGGUCUAUUCUUUCUUUAUAUCAAAGUGCCAGCGUCUUAUCCUCUAACACCACCUAUUGUACGAUUUAUAACAAAAAUAUUUCAUCCCAAUGUAUCACGUCAUGGGGAUAUUGGUAUUGAUUCCAUUCACCAAAAUUGGUCCUUGGCUUUGACAAUGAGCAAACUGUUGAUCUCCAUUCAGUCUCUCUUAACAGAUCCAUUUUGCGAUGAAAGAAAAAGUUAACCCCAUAAAAUGUCCAUAGUUUGUGUUCCAAGAAAUGUAAAAUACAAAUAACCAAAUCCCCUGUUUUCCUGCUUGCUGUCCAGAAAUUUUCCCAAAAACUCGGAGUUAUUUGCAUGAAAUUUGGUUUGUAUGGAACCUGAUAUAUGUGAUAUGUAUAUAAACAACAGAAAAGCUUUUGAUAAACAAGCAAGAAAGUGGACAGCUAAAUAUGCAAUGAACGAUUUGAUGUCCUAUGAAAUUAAUCAAGAAGAUAAAAGCCAAUAAUAUGGUCUCAUCAAUUUUAUUUUGUCAGCAUCUUCAUUAUAUUUACAUUUUAUUAAUAUAUCAAUAAAAGAUUUUUAAAUCA